RNAcentral lists this ribosomal RNA (487 nucleotides) under uncultured bacterium. RNAcentral's name for it is "partial 16S ribosomal RNA". It matches the Rfam family "Bacterial small subunit ribosomal RNA", at positions 28 to 507 of the family's 1533-position model. The record is from RNAcentral.
GACGAACGCUGGCGGCGUGCUUAACACAUGCAAGUCGAACGGAAAGGCCCCCAUCUUGGUGGGGGUGCUCGAGUGGCGAACGGGUGAGUAACACGUGGGUGAUCUGCCCUGUACUUCGGGAUAAGCUUGGGAAACUGGGUCUAAUACCGGAUAGGACCAUGGUUUAGUGUCUCAUGGUGGAAAGAUUAUUGUUUUGGUGCAGGAUGAGCUCGCGGCCUAUCAGCUUGUUGGUGGGGUAAUGGCCUACCAAGGCGUCGACGGGUAGCCGGCCUGAGAGGGUGGACGGCCACAUUGGGACUGAGAUACGGCCCAGACUCCUACGGGAGGCAGCAGUGGGGAAUAAUGCACAAUGGGCGCAAGCCUGAUGCAGCGACGCCGCGUGGGGGAUGACGGCCUUCGGGUUGUAAACUCCUUUCGUUAGGGACGAAGCCACGCUUGUUGGGUGUGGUGACGGUACCUUUGUUAAGAAGCACCGGCUAACUACGUG